CCCCUCUCAGGAUAGCACCUGGAGAGUUCUAGUACUUUACCAGUCUCGACUAUGAGAGGGAAAGUCAAGCAGAGGCCUACCCAUUCCAUUCCUAGCUUGGGCACUGGCUAGAGGGUGGAAGGCAAUCUGCUACAAGU
Molecule: small nucleolar RNA, 137 nt
Filed under: Ornithorhynchus anatinus (platypus)
Lineage: Eukaryota; Metazoa; Chordata; Mammalia; Monotremata; Ornithorhynchidae
Source: RNAcentral